UACGUAGGGGGCAAGCGUUGUCCGGAAUCAUUGGGCGUAAAGCGCGCGUAGGCGGCCAGGUAGGUCUGGUGUGAAAACUCGAGGCUUAACCUCGAGAUGUCAUCGGAAACCAUCUGGCUAGAGUCCGGAAGAGGAGUGUGGAAUUCCUGGUGUAGCGGUGAAAUGCGCAGAUAUCAGGAAGAACACCAAUGGCGAAAGCAGCUCUCUGGGACGGUACUGACGCUGAGACGCGAAAGCGUGGGGAGCGAACAGG
Molecule: ribosomal RNA, 253 nt
Filed under: uncultured bacterium
Lineage: Bacteria
Description: partial 16S ribosomal RNA
Rfam family: Bacterial small subunit ribosomal RNA
Source: RNAcentral